RNAcentral lists this unclassified non-coding RNA (250 nucleotides) under uncultured fungus. RNAcentral's name for it is "sequence contains ITS1, 5.8S rRNA gene". The stretch from base 202 to 250 matches the Rfam family "5.8S ribosomal RNA", at positions 1 to 49 of the family's 154-position model. The record is from RNAcentral. Lineage: Eukaryota; Fungi.
UUUCCGUAGGUGAACCUGCGGAAGGAUCAUUAGUGAAUUUAGAGUGUCUCCUUAACGAGAGCUCGACCUCCACUAUUUCUACUCUGUGCACCAAUCAAGCAUUUGGGACAGAUAGUAGCUUUGGCGAAACCUGUCUUGUUUGCUUUUUUACCUUUACAAACAUUAAAGUUAAAGAAUGUAAAAAAAACCAUAACAAAAAAAAACUUUCAACAACGGAUCUCUUGGCUCUCGCAUCGAUGAAGAACGCAGC